RNAcentral lists this transfer RNA (86 nucleotides) under Schlesneria paludicola. RNAcentral's name for it is "tRNA-Leu". It matches the Rfam family "tRNA". From Rfam's summary of the family: Transfer RNA (tRNA) molecules are approximately 80 nucleotides in length. Their secondary structure includes four short double-helical elements and three loops (D, anti-codon, and T loops). Further hydrogen bonds mediate the characteristic L-shaped molecular structure. tRNAs have two regions of fundamental functional importance: the anti-codon, which is responsible for specific mRNA codon recognition, and the 3' end, to which the tRNAs corresponding amino acid is attached (by aminoacyl-tRNA synthetases). tRNAs cope with the degeneracy of the genetic code in two manners: having more than one tRNA (with a specific anti-codon) for a particular amino acid; and 'wobble' base-pairing, i.e. permitting non-standard base-pairing at the 3rd anti-codon position. The record is from RNAcentral. Lineage: Bacteria; Pseudomonadati; Planctomycetota; Planctomycetia; Planctomycetales; Planctomycetaceae.
GCCGAAGUGGCGGAACUGGCAGACGCGCUGGAUUCAAAAUCCAGUUCAGUUAACCCUGAGUGUGGGUUCGAGUCCCACCUUCGGCA